Molecule: long non-coding RNA, 3466 nt
Organism: Clupea harengus (Atlantic herring)
Lineage: Eukaryota; Metazoa; Chordata; Actinopteri; Clupeiformes; Clupeidae
Source: Ensembl
CCUGUGUGCUUUUUGAUUGGUGGAGAAUGGCCUACUGUGCUACACUUUGUUCAAUUAGUUGUGAUUGGAUAGAUGUGGUGACAAGUGUAACAUAUGCAAUGCAGUAGACAGAAGGGGAACCCUGCCUAUGUCCUGUACUCCACUCAAUUCAAUAUAGGCAGGGACGUGCACAGGAGGGGGCUAAGGUUGCCCGGGCAACUGCCCGUCUGCCCUCCUCGACCGAAGGACUUUUUUUUUUUUUUAAACAGUAUAACGGCGGCGGUUACAAAAAUGUACGUGUUACCCCUUUUUUCCAGGGCAGAGCAAAGGCCCUUCAAAAUUCCUGUGCACGUCCCUGAAUAUAGGUUUGAUGUUUUCCUUCAUAACCUUAAAACACUGCCUAUGAUUAAGCAGUAGUGGUACACAGCAGGUGAUGCUAUAUACCACUGCUACAGGACAUGUUGCCAAGCAGAAUGCCUUUAGCGCCUGUAAAAGUGGUCUAUGUGUCACUUGCUUAGGGUGUGCGGUUGUUUUUUGUUUUUGCAUGGGUGCUAGCAGUUAAUGCAAUUUGGCCCACAAACACCUGCUGCAACUUGCUGAGUCACAGAGUGACAUGGAUAAAUGAGUUUCUUUCGUCCACAAACUGAAGUAUUUGCAGACCUUUGUCCACAAAAGAAAAAUCAUUAAUUUGAGUUGUAUUGAAACCAAAGUGCAUGUCAUUGCAUUUACAGUAAUUACAUUAACACUUUCUACCACAACAAUCUAUUAAUCAAGGCAUUAGCGAGUAAUUGUGAUACUAAUUGUGUAUCUGGCAAGAUUGAUUCGACUAUGAGACUACUUCACCGGUAUUUCAGUCCUUGAGAUAAUACAAUUGAUGUGUAUUAAUAAAAUGUCUUGAUUACACUGUUUAAAAAUACAAUAUAGUGUUCAAGUACAAGUUACAAGGACACUUGAAGUGCCAGUGUGUCAAGAUAUUUUGUCACUGAACCAUCUUUUCUCAAAGUAUGAAUUUAACAUAAAAUCCAUUACGUUCAAAUGGACUUUGACCUGACAGUCAUCUGUAUACUUCUGUUUGAGUAAGUACUUUGAAUGGGGCAGGCCCCUAAUAUCCACUGAACAUCUUGAGGAGCCACUCCCUUUAGAGCAGCGUCCGUCCCUCACAGAGUCACUGCAUAGUAUCUGGUCCCACAAGGGUCUAACACGUACUUAAAGGGUCUCUAUUGGUGUUAUCUAACGUGUUUAUUGAAUGCUAGAUUGGGAAUGUUUUGGUUUAUGAAGAUGAGGUGAUAAGGAUGGAAUUUGAAUAGUUCUGCCUUGCAUAUAGCAAGUAUGUAUGAAACAACAGACGUGCAUAGAUGCAUGACUUCAAAUUGUCUGUGUAAACAUCUUUGUAUCCGUGUUGUGGUUUGACCUCGUGAAGCAUUUAUUUGCUGUGUGUCUGUGUGUGUGUGUGUGUGUGUGUGUGUGUGUGUGUGUGUGUGUGUGUGUGUGUGUGUGUCUGUGUGUGCAUUGAGUUGUGGGGCUGACGCGGCAGAAAUUGCUGCAGUGUAGAGAGAUGCUGCCCUGAUGGGAGAGAGGGAGGGAUACGGAAUAGAUGGAGAGGCACGCGCGAAACUCAUCUCUGACUCCACUCCAAGCCUGAAGGUGUGAGUGUGCAUCAGACGCAGGACGAGUGCUGAAGGUGUGAGUGUGUAUCAGACGCAGGACGGGUGCUGAAGGCUCUAUGUGUCAUUCGUUUACUCACCAAUCCUCCCACCAGAGACAGUGGCACUGAGUCUCAGUCAAUGAGUGCCUCUCACUGAAGGAGAAGGAGAGAGAAGCGGGAAGAUCGGGGCUGUGAGAGUGAGUGCGGGUAGAGUGUGUGUGUGUGUGUGUGUGUGUGUGUGUGUUUGGAGACGGCACACUAGAGCAGACCUGUGUAAGGAUGCGCUGGAGACGGAGGAGAUCGCCGGGGCAAGGGAGGCGGGAGGCGGACAGGACCUCUGACUCUACCUUCAGCAUGCCCUUCUUUAAAGGUACCAUACGUCUGGGUUUGACACUGGAUGCUCAGGGACAAUGUUUGAGUGUGCAAGCCAAAUCUGAUUUGUUACGCUAUGAAUAUAUGAAUGGUACACACACAUCUCUAGGGGAGUGUAAGAGAGAUCAUUAUUGUUAUUGUUUGAGAUGAGUCAUCUCCGCUGUGGCGUUUGCAAAGGCUGUCUAAACCUGUAUAUGUGAAAAAGAGUUUCUGGUGUACAUAUUGAUCAAGCACACAUGCUGGUGUCUGCUGCCUGCUGCCUGCUGCCUGCUGCGGACACAGACCCUUACUGGCGGUUCAUUCAUCACCUAUGCUGCAUGCUCCUCAAUGACACUUACUGCCUGAAUGUAUAUGUAUACACACUGUGCUUGCAGUAAAGGGUGGAGAGGAGCUUCAUAUAUUUAGUUCAAGAAUCUCUGCAGGCAGCCGGUAUAUUGCAUCUUGGUUCUCAGCUGUAUGAUUUCCUGCGUAUCUACUAAAAAGCAUAUACAGAUGCACACAUAAUGAUAUUGUUUCUGUUAUGAUACAUAUAAGGUAAACAGAUCAGAUCAGAUGAUACAGAUACACACAUAAUGAUAUUGUUUAUGUUAUGAUACAUAUAAGGUAAACAGAUCAGAUCAGAUGAUACAGAUACACACAUAAUGAUAUUGUUUAUUAUGUCUGUUAUGAUACAUAUAAGGUAAACAGAUCAGAUCAGAUCAGAUGAGCAGAGGCUGAAAAUAACUUCAUAAUGUCUCCUCCUCACGGAGCUGCUUGCGGGGUGGGUGUUAUAUUGACAUGGGUACACAAACACAGCCACUUCCCAAUAUUUGCAUUAACAACAGGUUUAUUGAGUGCUGCAGUAUAACUCCUCACUACCUCCCUAAAAAGAUGCAGUUGUCACAGGGAUAGCGGAACAGUCAACCCACUUUGCAAAAACUUCAAAAAUGUUUGAAUUUAAAUUGAUUGUCUUGUGAUUGAUUGUACAGAUAUAUUUUACUUUCAAUGCAUUAAAUGUAGAUGUCAAUUAAUGUAUGAGAUGACACAGGUACAUAUGGUACAUUUACCCACGUAAAUAUGAUUAGCAGAUGCAAUUACAUUUUUUUUUAAUUAUUCUUAUAUUGUUGCAAAGCAAAAAUUAAUUAAUUAAUCUAAAACGCAUAUAAAGUAAAAGGUUAGAAUGUGCAGUAUGCGACAACAUUUGAACAAAGUUUCUACGUUAAGCAUUUCAAGCUUAAUUAUGUUACAGAAAAUAAGAAAAUCUAUGAAUAUCAGUAUAAUGUGUUGGUUGCCUACUGAGUGCAAUUAAAUCCACUGACUGCUUGCCUAGUGCUACGUUUAGCUCUAAGAUGAUCUCUAAGUAAAUGAUCAAAUCACCUGCAGGAAAGCCUCCUAGUGUGUCUUGGGAUAACUACUUUACAGUGGAGCAACUCAGGAUUAAGCACCUUGCUCAGGGACACCAUGGCGACAACCUCAGGGAUUGAACUCUCG